This 254-nucleotide ribosomal RNA is filed under the name uncultured bacterium. RNAcentral's name for it is "partial 16S ribosomal RNA". It matches the Rfam family "Bacterial small subunit ribosomal RNA", at positions 524 to 776 of the family's 1533-position model. The record is from RNAcentral.
GACGAACCGUGCGAACGUUAUUCGGAAUCACUGGGCUUAAAGCGCGUGUAGGCGGGACGGAACGUCGGUAGCUGAAAGCCCCCGGCUCAACCGGGGAAGUGGCGCCGAUACGACCGACCUGGAGGGACGUAGGGGGACCUGGAACUUCCGGUGGAGCGGUGAAAUGCGUUGAGAUCGGAAGGAACGCCCGUGGCGAAAGCGAGGUCCUGGACGUUUACUGACGCUGAGACGCGAAAGCCAGGGGAGCGAACGGG